GAUCCUGGCUCAGGACGAACGCUGGCGGCGCGCCUAACACAUGCAAGUCGAACGAGCAAGAGAGAGCUUGCUUUCUCGAGCGAGUGGCGAACGGGUGAGUAACGCGUGAGGAACCUGCCUCAAAGAGAGGGACAACAGUUGGAAACGACUGCUAAUACCGCAUAAGCCCACGGCUCGGCAUCGAGCAGGGGGAAAAGGAGCAAUCCGCUUUGAGAUGGCCUCGCGUCCGAUUAG
RNAcentral lists this ribosomal RNA (234 nucleotides) under uncultured bacterium. RNAcentral describes it as "partial 16S ribosomal RNA". It matches the Rfam family "Bacterial small subunit ribosomal RNA", at positions 15 to 244 of the family's 1533-position model. The record is from RNAcentral.